RNAcentral lists this ribosomal RNA (262 nucleotides) under Klebsiella pneumoniae. RNAcentral describes it as "partial 23S ribosomal RNA". It matches the Rfam family "Bacterial large subunit ribosomal RNA", at positions 1 to 264 of the family's 2925-position model. Lineage: Bacteria; Pseudomonadati; Pseudomonadota; Gammaproteobacteria; Enterobacterales; Enterobacteriaceae. The record is from RNAcentral.
GUUAAGCGACUAAGCGUACACGGUGGAUGCCCUGGCAGUCAGAGGCGAUGAAGGACGUGCUAAUCUGCGAAAAGCGUCGGUAAGGUGAUAUGAACCGUUAUAACCGGCGAUGUCCGAAUGGGGAAACCCAGUGCAAUUCGUUGCACUAUCGUUAACUGAAUACAUAGGUUAACGAGGCGAACCGGGGGAACUGAAACAUCUAAGUACCCCGAGGAAAAGAAAUCAACCGAGAUUCCCCCAGUAGCGGCGAGCGAACGGGGAG